AUGUCCUCCAUCACGAUCUCGAAUGAAACUAUCCAUGGAAUCAUGCGCCAUGUGAAACGUAGAUCAUCGCGGUUCUUAACCGAGACUCGGGUUAAGCUCCGUCUCGGAACCGCCGUGGGGUUAGGAGUAAAGCAUCCCGAGGUUGGCACAUCUCGUUGGGCAUGGAGAAGCAUUGGGAACCCCAAUAUCUUUCUUCGGAGCAGUUUCUUUUCCCGCCCCCUCGCCCCGGCAUAG
Molecule: ribosomal RNA, 234 nt
Filed under: Triticum aestivum (bread wheat)
Lineage: Eukaryota; Viridiplantae; Streptophyta; Magnoliopsida; Poales; Poaceae
Description: partial small subunit ribosomal RNA
Source: RNAcentral